GAUGAACGCUGGCGGCGUGCCUAACACAUGCAAGUCGAACGAAGCAAUUAAAGGAAGUUUUCGGAUGGAAUUUGAUUGACUGAGUGGCGGACGGGUGAGUAACGCGUGGAUAACCUGCCUCACACUGGGGGAUAACAGUUAGAAAUGACUGCUAAUACCGCAUAAGCGCACAGUACCGCAUGGUACGGUGUGAAAAACUCCGGUGGUGUGAGAUGGAUCCGCGUCUGAUUAGCCAGUUGGCGGGGUAACGGCCCACCAAAGCGACGAUCAGUAGCCGACCUGAGAGGGUGACCGGCCACAUUGGGACUGAGACACGGCCCAAACUCCUACGGGAGGCAGCAGUGGGGAAUAUUGCACAAUGGGCGAAAGCCUGAUGCAGCGACGCCGCGUGAGUGAAGAAGUAUUUCGGUAUGUAAAGCUCUAUCAGCAGGGAAGAAAAUGACGGUACCUGACUAAGAAGCCCCGGCUAACUACGUGCCAGCAGCCGCGGUAAUACGUAGGGGGCAAGCGUUAUCCGGAUUUACUGGGUGUAAAGGGAGCGUAGACGGCGAAGCAAGUCUGAAGUGAAAACCCAGGGCUCAACCCUGGGACUGCUUUGGAAACUGUUUUGCUAGAGUGUCGGAGAGGUAAGUGGAAUUCCUAGUGUAGCGGUGAAAUGCGUAGAUAUUAGGAGGAACACCAGUGGCGAAGGCGGCUUACUGGACGAUAACUGACGUUGAGGCUCGAAAGCGUGGGGAGCAAACAGGAUUAGAUACCCUGNUAGUCCACGCCGUAAACGAUGAAUGCUNGGUGUUGGGGGGCAAAGCCCUUCGGUGCCGUCGCNNCGCANUANGCAUUCCACCUGGGGAGUACGUUCGCAAGAAUGAAACUCAAGGAAUUGACGGGGACCCGCACAAGCGGNGGNNCAUGUNGUUUNAUUUCGAAGCAACGCGGAGAUCUUUACCAAGUCUUGACAUCCUCUUGACCGGCGUGUACGGCGCGUCCCUUCGGGGCAGAGAAGAACAGUGGGUGCAUGGUUGUCGUC
Molecule: ribosomal RNA, 1024 nt
Filed under: uncultured bacterium
Lineage: Bacteria
Description: bacterial SSU rRNA
Rfam family: Bacterial small subunit ribosomal RNA
Source: RNAcentral